This is a non-coding RNA of Mycena polygramma, 95 nucleotides long. The record is from the annotation of a GenBank genome assembly. Lineage: Eukaryota; Fungi; Basidiomycota; Agaricomycetes; Agaricales; Mycenaceae.
UCGGACGUGGUGCAUGGUGCAUGCCUGCUGAGACUGGAAAUUUGCCUCGAACUCGUCUACUGCGCGAGAUCCGGGUUCGAUUCCCGGCGUCUGAA